Molecule: small RNA, 28 nt
Filed under: Bombyx mori (domestic silkworm)
Lineage: Eukaryota; Metazoa; Arthropoda; Insecta; Lepidoptera; Bombycidae
Description: ovarian small RNA-38479
Source: RNAcentral
UUUUGGGUUGAAGGAUCCACUCGCCUGU